UUCAACUCGAAUGGUUUCACACACGCCGACCGUUUAUCCGUGCGUGCGUCACUGAAGCGCGAGCCCGCUGCUCGUAGCAGGAUCGCGGCACUCGUGCGAUACCUAAACUAUAAUAGCAUCUACAUCAUCAUAUGUGCCGCAUCUAAUACCGAAAUUAUCGAGCGAUGCGGCACACGCGGAGCGCAGGUGCGUGCGAGAAUCGAGCUUAAAAAACGUAAUUCCAAAUCGUCGUGGGAAUAUUGGAAUUAUUUGGAGUGAGUUUUAGUGAUGGGUUUGGAUGAAAAAGUGAACACGCGAGGGCAACAGUGGCCGGACCUUGAUGAACUUAAUAAUUGCAGCUGAUUGGCAAUUGAUGAUGGAACAUGGAGGAAGGAAAAGUGCGCUCGUCGACAACGAGAACGCAGCGAAUGUUUCGGGGAGAGGUCGGAUCGAGCUGAGAGAAAGGAAUUGAGGCGCGGGGAGUGCGUUACUCGACGAAAUACACGAAGAAAGGGGCAGGGGCGAAGCGAGUGUAAGAGAGAAAUGUGACGUCGCAAUGGCAGGAGUGAGGAAUGGAGUCAAGUCAGAGGAUAGAAUGAAGUAGCUGCGCGAGACUGCACAGACCGUGGGUACAUUCGCGUGCGUAUAUACGUUUGCAGAACGAUGCGAAAGGGCUGAGGGAGGCGCGGGAAAAGAUGCUCGCAGUGCGAGAGAACGCGUCCGCACGGACCUCAAGACGGAUGAGAUCAGUUAAACCAAACUGCCUUCGUGACAAAUCCUCCGCUUCCUCUGAUCUCGCUCUUCGCCAUACCAAGUGGGAAAGAUGUGCGAAAAGAGAGAAUAAGAGAGAGAGAGAGGAGAAAUGGUGUGCUCGAGGCGACCAAGAGAAAGAGGAUGUUACUUAUGUACGAGAGAAUAUCAAGCUGGCGACAAGAGAAGUGCGUUUGUCAGGCUUCGUUCUCUCUCUGUGCACAUUUCGUAAGGGCACAAUCGACUCGAAGGAGAGAAUUAAUAGCGACGAUUGCAUCAUCCAAAAGGCUCGAUAAAAAGCCAAGCUGUUGUAAGAACUUUGUACGAUAUGUUGAGUACAUCGACUGCGAUAAAAAUUGCAUCGUCGACGCGCGCGCGUCAGUACAUUGCUCUACGGAACGAAACGCCAUUUUCUAACGACCAAAAACCCCCAUUUUCCUUCGUUUUACAUCUAAUUAUCGACUGCGAAGUUAUUCAUCAGAAUCUUUGCGUAUCGGCGCCCUGAAAAAACUGCGUCUGGGUACAAAACUCUGUUAGUUCGUUACCAUUUUUUUUCUUGUGUCCCACUUAACUCGAUCCCCAUAGCAAUAAGUAUUCAAUAAAAUUACUUCUCCAACGGCGUACGGACUCCACCCGUGUACUGGUUUUAUGCUAAAAUUUACGACUUCUGAGAAAACGGGGGCAUACAUUCGUGUGCGGAAAUCCCUUCGCUAUCAUACUAUAAAAAUACAUAAUUACGCUGGUUGCUUUCGAUUCAGCGUUCCCCAGCAUCAACAAUCAUGAUCGCACUCUUUUGAGGCUUUUUAUAAACGAACGCGUCUCGCGUUUCUAUAUCGAAGAACUUUGUUUUUAAUAAGGCCUUACACUUGUGAUAGGCGAGAAAAUCGGAAAUUUUAUUUAUUAAAUAUUCUUCAAUAUUAUUUAGUAUUAAUUAAAUAUUCUCUUAUACUUGAAUCUUCAAACGCGAUUAUCUCAGAAUUGUGUUUUUUGAAAAAUACCUUUGCAGUGGACGCGAUUACUAAAAACCUAUUAAUCCGAUUCACACGAAAUUUGUACCACUUAUUUAUUAGUCGUCAUUUUUUUUAAAUUAACAUUUUUUAAAAUCCUUCGUCCAGGCCCGAGCUAUUAUUAUCAUAAAUA
RNAcentral lists this long non-coding RNA (1869 nucleotides) under Venturia canescens. RNAcentral describes it as "uncharacterized LOC122411454". The record is from RNAcentral. Lineage: Eukaryota; Metazoa; Arthropoda; Insecta; Hymenoptera; Ichneumonidae.